This 26-nucleotide non-coding RNA is filed under the name Mus musculus (house mouse). The record is from RNAcentral. Lineage: Eukaryota; Metazoa; Chordata; Mammalia; Rodentia; Muridae.
UGUGGAAAAUCGAGAAUAACUCUUGG